GCCAGGGUGCGCUACGGAUGCGAUCGUGUGGGGUACGGGAAUAUACAAUGUGCACUCGCACGUCUGCGGCGCUGCCUUGCACGCUGGCCUGCUGACCGCCACAGGGGGCGCCACUGCGCUGGUCGUCAGCAACGGUCGCUACUCGCACUACGUCGGCAGCAACCUGCACGGAAUACAGUCACUAGAGAGUUCUGAGAUUGUCAAUAGCUUCCGGUUUGAGGAGGAAGAAGUUAACCUACGGCACACAAAGUUAGCCAUCGUCGGCAAUGACUUGGCGUGUCCUGCGGGAUGGCAGGAGCGGCUUCCCGGGGCGUGUGUGCGGCUGUACUGCGGGGGCGUCAGCUGGGACGAGGCGUACACGGACUGUGUGGAGAGAGGAACGAAGCUGUUUGCUCCUGACAGCGAGGAUACGAACCUCGUGCUGACAGAAUUACUACAGG
This is a long non-coding RNA of Priapulus caudatus, 440 nucleotides long. RefSeq lists it as uncharacterized. The transcript has 3 exons. The record is from RefSeq and is a predicted model, not a curated record. Lineage: Eukaryota; Metazoa; Priapulida; Priapulimorpha; Priapulimorphida; Priapulidae.